Molecule: long non-coding RNA, 2760 nt
Organism: Anolis carolinensis (green anole)
Lineage: Eukaryota; Metazoa; Chordata; Lepidosauria; Squamata; Anolidae
Exons: 8
Source: RefSeq, a predicted model, not a curated record
CACAGGGUUGUUGUAUGUCUUUUGGGCUGUGUGGCCAUGUUCCAGAAGUAUUAUCUCCUGAUGUUUCGCCCACAUCUAUGGCAGGCAUCCUCAGAUCCUCAACCUCUGUGAUCCCGGCCAUGAAAGCCUUCGACAACACAGAAAAUAUCAGGUCCAGCUGUCAAUGGUAAUGACAGGUGUGUCCAAUCAUUCAAACAAUUCCCCUUUCCUCCACUGAUGGCUCUUUUUGUCUCAAAGCAUAGAGAACUGCUGACACUACUCAGGCUGUAUAAAUGCAUACUUACAUCUAAGUAAGCUCUGCUGAAGUCUACAAGACUUAUUUUUGAGACUGAACCUCCAUUAGGAUAAGCUGCACAGGUGCUUUCCUUCUUCAAAAAACAGGUGAGACCUUUCAGAAUCGGAGCCAUCAUUUAUGAAAUGUCCUGCCAUGUGUAAUAUACCAGACUCUAUUUCAAAUUGAAUAUCCAGGUCAUCCACGGCAACUCUACUCAGUUCUGCAGGAUAUUGACCAUGGAAAGAAAACUACUCUGAGAACUUCAUCCCACACAGUAAAAUCAACAUUUUUACAUAUUUAAGAAACAGAAAGCUAUGGUACCCUUCACACGAUGCAAGCUUCAACUGUGAGGUUGAGACAUGGAAAGAAGAAACUGCUCCUACUUUCUUCAACUGAUGGAAGAGCAUUGGAUCUGAGAAAUAGUUCAACAGCCUGUCUUUUACCCUUUAAGGCUCUAGCAGCGUAACUCACCGGGAAAUAAAGAAGCAGUGACCCAAACAGGAUAGUCUCCAAGAGAAUGAGUCCUGAUGCUCUGAUGCUCUGGAACAAAAACAAAGAAAUGGCAAGGCUCAUAAUGAAAAAUCCUCAUGAAUCAUUACCAUGAACAAUUGAAGAGUUCGUUUUGAGAUAGGUAUGUUUCAUUUUGGACUAGGAUAUACCCUCCAACUGUCCCAAUUUGGCAAGGACAGUCCUGAUUAAUCCUCUGUCAUCCCUCUUUUUCAGUUGCUUUUGAAAUGGCCCAGUUCCUCACUCCUCUUUCCCUUUUAUGUUCAGCUUACUUCAAUUGCUCCAAAAAAUAGUUUGCACUGAAUUCAACACAGAGGAGAGGAAGGGGAGAAAUCGUUCCCGUCCCACUAGGCUCAGGCAAAAACAAACUGCUGAAGCAUCUCUUAGUGUGUGUGUUUGUCUUCGCUAAAAAAAUUUUUUGUCAUUUUGACCACCUUCUGAUGCUGUUUGCUUAUAUCUACCCCAUUUUCAUUUGUGAGGUACUGGUGGAUAGGAUGUUAUCCAGAAGCUAAAAGUUUAAAUUGAUUGCAACUCAAAACCUAAGGAAUUCUAUUUGAAGAAUAUUUGGGAUGGGUAGGUUCAUGUAAUCAUAAAAUCAUGGAGUUGGAAGAGACCACAAGGGCCUUCUAGUCCAACCUCAUGACAUGCAAGAACACACAAACAAAGCAUGUCUGACAGAUGGCCAUCCAGCCUCUGCUUAAAAACCUCUGGAGAAGGGGACUCCAGGACACUCCAUAUUCCACUGCCAAACAGCUCUUACUAUUAGGAAGUUUUUCCUAAUGUUUAGGUGGAAGCUCUUUCUUUGCAGUUUGAAUCCAUUCCUCCAUGCCUUAGUCUCCAGAACAGUAGAAAAUAAGCUUGCCCCCACUUCAAUAUGAGCAUCCUUUCAAAUAUUUAAACAUGGCAAUUAUGUCCCUUCUUGACCUUAUUUUCUUCGAGCUAAAUAUAUUCGGCUCCCUAAGCAGAUCUUCAUGGAGCUUGGAUUCCAGACCUUUGAUCAUUCUGAUGACUCUUCUCUGGACACAUUUCAGCUUGUCAAGAUCCACCUUGACUUGUGAUGCCCAGAACUGGACACAAUAUUAUUCCAGAUUCACAUACAAGUAGUACUGAAUUACAUUGUUCUCAACUUGAAAUCAAACUGAUUGUACAGAGAGCAACUGGGUGAAGCUGAAGGUAUUACAACCAAACUUCAACAAAAUAUAAUUGAACUUUAGCAGUACUGAAUGAUUUCAAGAAAGGAGGCUCAAUCCACUGGGAAUAUCUUCUCAACAAACCUCACUGAAAUGAAUGAUGCUUGCAGAAGCACACAGAUUCAAACUGUGCCUGAUUUCUCAUGGGGACAAACUAACUGGAGAACUAUAAGUAAAUUUUAAAUUUGCUUCAGGGAAGUCAUUAAAGUUUUUAGAUGGAUGCACUGCAUCAUAUUCAACAAAGCCAAAGCUAAAAAGAAGAAUACACUUGCUUGAAAGGUAUUGCAUUGCAAAUAUCCAUUGCCUUGAGCUAUUCUGGGAAACUACAAGCUUAAUUAAUAUUGAAUUUCUCUGUGUCAAUACACAAAAAUUAAAGGAUUUGAGAACCCAAAAUGUAUGCAGUAAUGAGGAAGGGGGAAAAUGAUGUUAAAUACAUUCAGGAAGACAGCAUUCUUUAGUAUCCGAUGAAGCUCCUCUUUUCAGGUUUAGGCCCUAGAGCAAUACUGAGGAAAUAAAAUUGUGUAAACUGCUGUGGGAAGAAUUAACACUGAGGGCACUUCCAGACAGGCCCAAAAUGCAGGACUUGUCUCGCUUUUAACUGAGGUAUCCAAAUAAAGCAAAUUAAAGUUAAACACAAAUUAAUGCAGAGGAAACUGGGUUUUCCCAAUUUCCUCCGCAUUAAUUUGACACCUGGAAAGAUCUGGACUUUAAGCUAAGAUCUGGAUCUUUCCAGGUGCUAGGCCUGUGGGGAUUGGCCCCUGGGACUGCUUUCAUAGUCCAGGGGGUCAG